AUACAGAGGGUGCGAGCGUUAAUCAGAAUUACUGGGCGUAAAGCGCGCGUAGGCGGCUUGGUCAGUCGGAUGUGAGAGCCCCGGGCUCAACCUGGGAAUGGCAUUCGAUACUGCCAGGCUAGAGUAUGGGAGAGGGAAGUGGAAUUUCCGGUGUAGCGGUGAAAUGCGUAGAUAUCGGAAAGAACACCAGUGGCGAAGGCGACUUCCUGGCCCAAUACUGACGCUGAGGUGCGAAAGCGUGGGGAGCGAACAGGAUUAGAUACCCUAGUAGUCC
RNAcentral lists this ribosomal RNA (274 nucleotides) under uncultured bacterium. RNAcentral's name for it is "partial 16S ribosomal RNA". It matches the Rfam family "Bacterial small subunit ribosomal RNA", at positions 523 to 796 of the family's 1533-position model. The record is from RNAcentral.